This 335-nucleotide ribosomal RNA is filed under the name Coelophthinia thoracica. Its description in RNAcentral is "partial 16S ribosomal RNA". The record is from RNAcentral. Lineage: Eukaryota; Metazoa; Arthropoda; Insecta; Diptera; Mycetophilidae.
AUCUAAACUCGGUUAUGAUGGGUUUUACGAAAUAUAAGCUGUAUCAUAAAAAUUUUAUUAGAAAUUAAUUUUUUAGUAAAAAAGCUAAAAUAAAAUUAAAAGACGAGAAGACCCUAUAGAGUUUUAUAUAAUUUUAAAAAUAAUUUAUUUAUAAAAUUUAAUUUUUUUUUUAAUUUUAUAUUUUGUUGGGGUGACAAUAAAAUUUUACAAUCUUUUAUUAUUUUUUAACAAAGAUUUUUGAAUAAUUGAUCCAUUUUUAGUGAUUAAAAGAUUAAAUUACCUUAGGGAUAACAGCGUAAUUUUUUUGUAGAGUUCUUAUCGAUAAAAAUUUUUGC